This is an RNA transcript of Choloepus didactylus (southern two-toed sloth), 3844 nucleotides long. RefSeq lists it as uncharacterized. The transcript is spliced from 4 exons. The record is from RefSeq and is a predicted model, not a curated record. NCBI's taxonomy places the organism in Eukaryota, Metazoa, Chordata, Mammalia, Pilosa, Megalonychidae.
CACUCUGGGCUUCCAGAAGUGGUCUAGCCAAACGAGGUAGGGCCAGGUGGGAAGCAAGCACACCCCUUGCCCUGUACCUCCCACACCACCUUUCACCACCCCUGUUAUCAGCCUGAUCCCCCAACUUAAACAGCAUGUGGUUGAGGAGAAUUAUCUCAGAGUUUCCCAAAAAAGAUUUCUUCAGCCAAGCAGAAAAACAAAAUGUUGAAAGUGAAGCCAUUACAAAAUGAUGGGGGCGGUGAUGAAAGACCAAGGUGUAGCUUUCUGGCAGUAAAGGAAAGGCUACCAGUCUCAGCAUUCCUCUGUGUACCUGGCAGAAAGGGGAGCUAGAGGGUGAACACUGGAGAGGAAGUCCAGACACAGACUCUGGGGGCCAAACCCAGCCAUGACCCCAUCUGCAAUAAUUUCUUUCAGGAAGAAACAGCAUGGAAUUGAGGAGGAGGUAGAGGAGAAGGAGCUACACUAAUGUUUAUUAAAUGCCUACUAUGUGCAAGGGGCUUCCACAUCUAUUAUGAUAUCCUUUAAUGUUUACAAUCUAAGAGGUCAGCUUUAUUAGUUACAUUUUAUAUCUGAGAAAACUAUGGCCUGGAAGAGAUGGGUACUGAUAACUGAGCCUAUCACCAGAAGUCACUGAUUGCGGUGUCCCCAUUUCUCUCCAGGACUGAGCCUGUGAGGAGGGGAGGACCACUCGCCUCUCCGCUCUGGACUCUCCUGGAAUCAGGUAAGGACCCUGAGAGAGAAAGACUCACCCACAUACUCGUCCAUGUUGAAGGUCUUCACAUACUUAAAGGACAGGUCCCCGUUCUUGUAGUACUCAAUCAGCUUCUUGUAGCAGCCAAGUGGGGUGCUCCCUGCAAGAAAGGACACAGCCAUGAACCAGGGGGUACCCAGGAGCGAGGCAGGGCUGUUCCGUAAGGAGAAUCUGUCAGAUGGGAGAGAAACAAGCCAGAUCUGAAGUCCUGCCCCAAUGCUCCAAUCACAACUGUCCUCCAUUCAUUGCCUGUUUAAUGACUAUUUCCUCACUAGACUGUAAGCUCCACGCAGGCAGGGCUGUGUCUGUCCUGUUCACUGCUGAAUCCCUAGUGCCCAGCACACUGAUGACAGAAACGACUGUGCGGAGUACCUGCUGAUGGCAUCCCCUCCAUACCACAACACACCAGUGGGGAGCCCCAGGGUGAAGUACUUGUCUGGCCCUGGGUUAAACUGGAUGAUGCGGUUCCUGAUGUAUUUGGCUGCCCACUCACUGGCCUGAGAAUAGUCGUCGAGGAUGAUGAGCUUCAUCGUUUCCUGCAGCGGGAAUGACAAAAGAGAGGCAGUGGUAAGAAGCAGGGGUGGAAACAGGGAAAGAGGUGGUAGGGGUGGAGCCGGAGAAGCCCCUCUCACCCAUCAACAAUCCCCUUUCCAAGCCGAGCCAGGAAGAGGAAACCCCUUUCAUUUCAGAGGGCGGAGCGUCUCUUCCAGCCACCAGGAGGCACUAGCGUGAGCCAGACCCGAGUUCCAAUCUCGGUUCCUCCAUUUAGGAACUGCAGGAGCCUGUUUCCUCCCGUGUAAAAAUGCGGACCUCACCUAUUUCACCAUGGCGAAUAUUCAGUAAGAGAAUGCAUGUAAAGCACACAGUGACUGCUCUUGCCCUGAUCCUUGGCACUGAGUGGCCUCCAGUUGCCAUGGUGCUGUUUUUUUGACCCACGGAUGGACCCCUGACUCGAGUAUGCUGAUCAGAGUGCUUCCCUGGAAUUUGGAAAAGGAACUGAUGGAUGAACCUGUAAUGUGUAAACUGGAGUGCUCUGGGUGGUCAUGGUUUUCUGCCAAAUGGAUCGGAAAAGCAGAGUGAGCUGAUCUACAAAGAGAAUGAAGCACAUGUGUCUACAUUGGAACGGAUGUUCAAUGAAGCUAACGAAGUUUAAACUCUCAUUGGCAAAGACUCUUCCCAGAGCCCCAGGAGGAUCUUGUAUUUGUAGUUUUAUAUUCUUGUUCUUAAAGAGGGCCCCCAAAUUGUGUAUGCUUCUGGCCUCAAAAAUGUGGACUUGCCCUGCAUAUGCAUUCCCCUCUGUGAUUGCAAUGCAAGCUUUGGUGAUUUCAGGAAGACUAUUCCACCACAACACAAAAUUCAUUCCUAACUUAGGGCUUUUGACAAGCCUCAAUGGAGAGAGGCUGCAAUGUUCUUCUCCCAGAUCUUUGCAGACUUGGCUGCUUCUUGUGAAACCGAUCUUACCUUCAAGCUUACUGCCUCCAAGAGGCCUUCCCUGUCACCCCUCCUAACAACUCCUUGUAUCUCUAUUACAUCAUCAUCUUUUAUUUUCAUGCUGGCACUUACCUGAUAAUUUCUUGUUUAUUCAUUUGUUUGCUCAUUGAUUAUCUUCUCCUACUCUUUCUAAAAUGAAAGAUCCUCUAAGAGCAGGAACCCCAACUUUCUUGUUCACUGCUGUGUCCCCAGCAUCUAGAAUGGUGCCUGGCAUAUUGUUGUAGGUAUUCAAUAAACAUUUGUUGGUAUUACUUAUUUAUCAAAUACGUAUGAAAUACCUCUUAUGUGGCAGGCAUGGUUCUAAUAACUUUAUAAAUGAAUGAAGUUUCCAACUUUCUAAUGUAGUCCAUGGUUCUGUGACAGAUUUUCAAUUCCUAACUCGCUUUUCCAAAGAAGAAAAUUGGAACUCAUCCACAAAUAUUUAUUAAGCUGUGUCUAUGUUCUAGACACUGGGCUAAAUGCUUUACCUCAUUUGAAACCCCACAGCAACGCUAUAAUAAGGUAAUUUAUUCACUAGGGUCUGCAUUUGGCUACAUGUAACUGAAUCCUGACAACUUGGGCUUAACCCACCAAAGGUUUAUUUUUCUCACUCAACAAGGAGUCUGGGGCGUGUGGUCCAGGAUUUGUACAGCAUCUCCAUGAGGCCAUCAUGGACCUGCUUCUGCUUCCCCGCUGUCGUUCUUAGCAUGUGGCUCUUGUAUUCAUAGUUGCAAAGACGGCUGCUGCCUCACUAGCUGUUGGGGUAGCUAUCAUUAGCUCCAUCUGUGGGUUAGAAUAGUUAAGUGAUGUGCCCCAAGACUCACAACUGACAAAUGGCCGAAUGAGGCUAGUUUCAAUUUUACUUGAACUGACCACCCCAAUUCCCCGGCUGUAUUUGAAAAAAUCAAGGGCCCUUCAUGGGACUGAGUCUUCUAGGACCGUCAAGGUUCACUCCUGUGAUCACUGCAAGCAACCCUCAUUCUGGUGCCUGCAAAUGCUGUUUUUUUUCAUACUACCUCCUAUCUCCAUCUCUGCUGAUGCUUUGCUAUGUAGUUGUAUUUACCAGAUAUUGUGGACCAAGUUGAAUAAUAUUUGGACCUGCAGAAUUUUGAGUGAAUGAAUGAAAUAGGGGCCUUCCUCCCUUAUUGAUAAACAGAACUUCAACAGCCAAGGGUCUUCUGAAAUCUAAAAGAUGUUUUGUCAUCAAUAGUGUACUGAUUAAGUAAAUUAUGCCAAGCCACGUGUUGGAAAAUCAUGUGGCUAAUAAAAUGAAUGAGGUGGACCAAGAAAGAAUGCUAAGAUGUAUUAUUUAGUAAGAAAACGAAGCAACAUACAGAACAUUAUGUAGAUCAUGAUUUUUCCCUGUUUCUUAAAUAUAUAUAUAUUUCACACCCACACACACAUGUAUAUUUACAUACAUAUACUUUUUCUGGGAGGAGCCAUAAAAUAAUAAUUAAUAGUUAGUACAUCAGGAAGGGCAGGAACAGAAGUUACCGCUUAUCAUUUUGUAUUCUAAUGUCUAAAAUUUCUAGCCUUACAUAUGCAUUACUGUUGUAAUUAUUAUCUAAUAUCAAUGGGAGUGAUCUGUGCAAUGAGAGUAUAGGCCAUUAAAUUUUUUUCCUG